This 348-nucleotide ribosomal RNA is filed under the name uncultured bacterium. RNAcentral's name for it is "bacterial SSU rRNA". It matches the Rfam family "Bacterial small subunit ribosomal RNA", at positions 8 to 350 of the family's 1533-position model. The record is from RNAcentral.
AGAGUUUGAUCAUGGCUCAGGAUGAACGCUGGCGGCGUGCUUAACACAUGCAAGUCGAACGGACUUUACAUGAAGCCUAGCGAUUGUAAAGUUAGUGGCGGACGGGUGAGUAACGCGUGAAUAACCUGCCCUGUACCGGGGGACAACAGUUGGAAACGACUGCUAAUACCGCAUAAGCGCACGGUUCCGCAUGGAACAGUGUGAAAAACUCCGGUGGUACAGGAUGGAUUCGCGUCUGAUUAGCCAGUUGGUGGGGUAACGGCCUACCAAAGCAACGAUCAGUAGCCGGCCUGAGAGGGUGAACGGCCACAUUGGGACUGAGACACGGCCCAAACUCCUACGGAGGCA